Molecule: ribosomal RNA, 253 nt
Filed under: uncultured bacterium
Lineage: Bacteria
Description: partial 16S ribosomal RNA
Rfam family: Bacterial small subunit ribosomal RNA
Source: RNAcentral
UACGUAGGGGGCAAGCGUUGCCCGGAAUCAUUGGGCGUAAAGAGCGUGUAGGCGGUCCGGUAAGUCGGCUGUGAAAGUCCAGGGCUCAACCCUGGGAUGCCGGUCGAUACUGCCGGACUAGAGUUCGGAAGAGGCGAGUGGAAUUCCCGGUGUAGCGGUGAAAUGCGCAGAUAUCGGGAGGAACACCCAUGGCGAAGGCAGCUCGCUGGGACGUUACUGACGCUGAGACGCGAAAGCGUGGGGAGCAAACAGG